Long non-coding RNA from Oncorhynchus tshawytscha (Chinook salmon), 447 nucleotides. NCBI's taxonomy places the organism in Eukaryota, Metazoa, Chordata, Actinopteri, Salmoniformes, Salmonidae. The record is from Ensembl.
GGGAACCACUGGGAGGGUGGUUGACAUUAGGGAACCACUGGGAGGGUGGUUGACGUUAGGGAACCACUGGGAGGGUGGUUGACAUUAGGGAACCACUGGGAGGGUGGUUGACAUUAGGGAACCACUGGGAGGGUGGUUGAUAUUAGGGAACCACGGGGAGGGUGGUUGAUAUUAGGGAACCACUGGGAGGGUGGUUGACAUUAGGGAACCACUGGGAGGGUGGUUGACAUUAGGGAACCACUGGGAGGGUGGUUGAUAUUAGGGAACCACGGGGAGGGUGGUUGAUAUUAGGGAACCACUGGGAGGGUGGUUGACAUUAGGGAACCACGGGGAGGGUGGUUGAUAUUAGGGAACCACUGGGAGGGUGGUUGAUAUUAGGGUACCACAGGGAGGGUGGUUGACAUUAGGGAACCAAUGGGAGGGUGGUUGACAUUAGGGAACCACUGG